This 69-nucleotide non-coding RNA is filed under the name human gut metagenome. Its description in RNAcentral is "Fluoride riboswitch". It matches the Rfam family "Fluoride riboswitch aptamer (crcB RNA motif)", at positions 5 to 60 of the family's 64-position model. The record is from RNAcentral.
UCAACGGGAAUGAAGUUCUCCCGAAUGCGAAAGCAUUGAACCGCUUUUCAAAGCUGAUGACUUCUGCAA